CGGGGUUUCGCCAUGUUGGCCAGGCUGGUCUUGAACUCCUGACCUCGUCAUCCACCUGCCUCGGCCUCCCAAAGCGCUGGGAUUCCAGGUGUGAGCCACCGCGCCCGGCCACCAGUGCCUAUUUUCUCACUUCCCUUCGUACCACCCUAAAUGCACAGGAGAGAAGACCCACAAGAGAGAAACGCACAGGAGAGAGUCGCAUACAGCAGAUAACUAGAACGAUAGGUUUCAUUCUCUCCCAGACCCUGGCUGAGAAGAACAGCGAGGUCUAGGUAUGCAUCCAGGCUGCGGCCCAAAUGCCCUGCAGAAACCAUCACAGCAGCUGCCCGCGGGACGCCAACAAGCUAUGGGGCCGGCCCAGCCUGGAAUGAGCAGCCACUGCCAGAGGGGCCCUCAUAGCCCUGCCUGGGGUCGCUUGAAAGCUCUGACCCCUGAGUCAAGGCACUGAAGUGUGGCCACCCCAUCAGUUCUGCACAACAGUUGACAAAGAGCUUUCCCAAACCUGCUCUCGCAGGCCGGGAAGCAACCCUGGGCAGUGGGAGGGCAGAGACUGUCACCCAUUUUACAGCAACAGAGUCUCACCAUCUUGCCAGGCUGGUCUCAAACUCCUGAGUUCACGUGAUCCCCCCACCUCAGUCUCCCAACAUGCUGGGAUUACAGACAUGAGCUACCACACCCAGCUCCAGAAGUGCUCACUUCUAAACUCCUACAGGAACUUCAACCAGUGCGCUUCCUAUGGCAACGGGCACAGUACUCAUAGCCACAAUGAUGACAACAGUAAUGGCUGUGAAUAUGUGUUGAGUGCGUAUAACGUCCUGGGCGUUGGCAUGAGCACUUUAUAUGCACUAUCUCAUCAGACCUCACUAAGAGUUCAUGAGAUUUAAGCGGCUCCAGGGUGAGAUAAAUAAGGCUCUCGUGCCUGCCCGCCCCUCUCUGAACCUAGCCUGCACCUUGCUCAAAGCAGCACUCAGGAAACGUUUGUUGGCGUGGUUUUCGGCUUUAUCUGAACAGCACCUUCACCGAAUGAUUCUACUGAAACUCUCGACAUGGUGGCGGGGACAAGACCUCAGGGCUGGCCAUCACUGCCAUCAGUGUGGUUUUCUGGGUCAUCAUUUGAAACAGGAUGUUCUUGCAUUUAUGUAAUGAUGUACCCAUUAAAACUCCUUGUGAGUAGAAAAGUUUUAAUGACUUCUGGGAGGGAGGGUGUUUUUCUAAGUUCGGGUUUGAUGGGAGCCAGAGGCAGCUCAGGAAAGCGUCUGCGGACGCGCCAGCCAG
This is a long non-coding RNA of Symphalangus syndactylus (siamang), 1275 nucleotides long. RefSeq lists it as uncharacterized. NCBI's taxonomy places the organism in Eukaryota, Metazoa, Chordata, Mammalia, Primates, Hylobatidae. The record is from RefSeq and is a predicted model, not a curated record.